This 251-nucleotide ribosomal RNA is filed under the name uncultured bacterium. RNAcentral's name for it is "partial 16S ribosomal RNA". It matches the Rfam family "Bacterial small subunit ribosomal RNA", at positions 525 to 775 of the family's 1533-position model. The record is from RNAcentral.
ACGGAAGGUCCGGGCGUUAUCCGGAUUUAUUGGGUUUAAAGGGAGCGUAGGCCGGAGAUUAAGCGUGUUGUGAAAUGUAGACGCUCAACGUCUGCACUGCAGCGCGAACUGGUUUCCUUGAGUACGCACAAAGUGGGCGGAAUUUGUGGUGUAGCGGUGAAAUGCUUAGAUAUCACGAAGAACUCCGAUUGCGAAGGCAGCUCACUGGAGCGCAACUGACGCUGAAGCUCGAAAGUGCGGGUAUCGAACAG